GCCUACGUGGUGUAGUGGUCAGCACGCUGGAUGUGUAUUCCAGAGGGCUGUGGUUCGAGGCCCUGUGAAGGUG
This 73-nucleotide transfer RNA is filed under the name Stegodyphus mimosarum. It matches the Rfam family "tRNA". From Rfam's summary of the family: Transfer RNA (tRNA) molecules are approximately 80 nucleotides in length. Their secondary structure includes four short double-helical elements and three loops (D, anti-codon, and T loops). Further hydrogen bonds mediate the characteristic L-shaped molecular structure. tRNAs have two regions of fundamental functional importance: the anti-codon, which is responsible for specific mRNA codon recognition, and the 3' end, to which the tRNAs corresponding amino acid is attached (by aminoacyl-tRNA synthetases). tRNAs cope with the degeneracy of the genetic code in two manners: having more than one tRNA (with a specific anti-codon) for a particular amino acid; and 'wobble' base-pairing, i.e. permitting non-standard base-pairing at the 3rd anti-codon position. The record is from Rfam by way of RNAcentral. Lineage: Eukaryota; Metazoa; Arthropoda; Arachnida; Araneae; Eresidae.